Betta splendens (Siamese fighting fish) is the source of this 1267-nucleotide long non-coding RNA. RefSeq lists it as uncharacterized. The record is from RefSeq and is a predicted model, not a curated record. NCBI's taxonomy places the organism in Eukaryota, Metazoa, Chordata, Actinopteri, Anabantiformes, Osphronemidae. The transcript is spliced from 2 exons.
GCGCGUAAAAGGUGAGCCAGACCCAAAGAGAGCGCCGCCUUCAGGGCUUCGCGUUCCCCGAGGUUUCCAGGAGACGCAGGCGUCCGUCAGCUGUUCGGCGCCCGGCGCAUCCUCCUGUCUCCGCCUCCCCGUGCUUCUUUCUCUGGACCGCUGUCUCGGCGCCUUUUCCGUGUCCGUAUUUGCUUCACGUUGAGCCCCACGUACAAUACCUGAAGACGAAGUUUUGUUCGUUCGGCUCGCGUUACGCAGGUACGGGUUGGCAACUGGAAAAGACGCGCUCGUCACCGCCGACGCGGUCCGCGCAAAUGAUGGGACCUCGGCUUUAUGCUUCAAAACAUAGUUUAAGAUGAAUUUUAAAAAAUAAAUAGAAAAAAUACACAAUAAUAAGAUGUUACGUCAGCUUUUAAAGACUUUAUAACAAGAUGGCUGUGUUACCUGGAGCCCAGGAGAAUAGAAUAUUUCACUGAAUAGCCUUAUUUGCAUACAGGUGGCAACAGGCAGCACUAGGUCAACAAGCCACCUGACUGGUGGAGUCAGAAUCAUUUAGUAGGUGGAUUUAAAGAAGCCUUAUGGAGAAGUCAUUGUUUGGCUCCUUAGAGGAGACAAGUAGACGCUUGUCUCGUUUGGCUCAAUGGACCUGACCUUUAACAAUAGGAAAAGCAAGGUUGCAGCAGGCGAGCGACUGAAUUGAUGAAGAUGUUUAAAGUUAAAAAGGUCGUACAUGAAUUCAUGCAGAUGUUCUUGUUCAGGGUUUAACUACACAUCUGUCUGCUCAAGUCAGCGUUUAUACAGCAGCUCAGUGUCACCGCUGAUAACAUUGGGGAAGUGUCAUUGUUCCGAGUCUUCAUGAAUCAUCCUGGGUUGAUCGUCUUCCUAUUUGUAGCGUCAGGGUUGACAUUUACAGCAGCAAAGACAGAUGGAGGGAGACGCGUUCACAAUCUUUUUCCCGCCGGCAGAUUAGCGAUGACGGUGUGUGUUUUCCGCUCGGGGCCCAUUCAUUACUGUCCACCUUCUACGUCAGCAGCGGCUGCUCCAGACGAGCCCCGCGGAGCGGGAGAUGGACCUAAUGGGAGGUUGUGUUAAUCAUUAACUAAACAUUAAGCACAGGCUCAGCGGACACCUGAUACAGGCCAUCUGUCAUUUGGAUGCAGCAUUCGGCCUUUUAUUGCUUGUAUUAUUUAUUAUUUUGGAGUUUAUGUCAGUGUUUUAAUGUGUUUGUUUGACAUUGUAAAGUGAAUGAUUUGACAAUAAAAGGAGGAUCCCUGUG